AAAUCCGUCCAUAGGGUGACGAGAGUGAAGAGAGAAUUCAAUUUCGGGCAUCCGAGCGCACGAACGGUGAGUAAUUUUGUUUUUUUAUAACACUGUCGGCCGCGUAAUUAUCGCGUUUUUUUUUUUCCACGGUAAACCGACGGCGUCUAUAUGACUGUGUACGUUAUCGGUAGGUACUUGACAGAAUCGAGUAAACCUCGUAAUAAUUUCU
This is a non-coding RNA of Cinara cedri, 211 nucleotides long. NCBI's taxonomy places the organism in Eukaryota, Metazoa, Arthropoda, Insecta, Hemiptera, Aphididae. The record is from the annotation of a GenBank genome assembly.